AUUCCUACGGGAGGCAGCAGUGAGGAAUCUUCCACAAUGGGCGAAAGCCUGAUGGAGCAACGCCGCGUGCAGGAUGAAGGCCCUAGGGUCGUAAACUGCUUUUAUAAGUGAAGAAUAUGACGGUAACUUAUGAAUAAGCACCGGCUAACUACGUGCCAGCAGCCGCGGUCAUACGUAGGGUGCAAGCAUUAUCCGGAGUGACUGGGCGUAAAGAGUUGCGUAGGUGGUUUGUUAAGUGAAUAGUGAAAUCUGGUGGCUCAACCACACAGACUAUUAUUCAAACUGGCAAACUCGAGAGUAGCAGAGGUAACUGGAAUUUCUAGUGUAGGAGUGAAAUCCGUAGAUAUUAGAAGGAACACCAAUGGCGUAGGCAGGUUACUAGGCUAUUUCUGACACUGAGGCACGAAAGCGUGGGGAGCGAACCGGAUUAGAUACCCGGGUAGUCCACGCCGUAAACUAUGGAUACUAGCUGUUGGAGGUAUCGACCCCUUCAGUAGCGAAGCUAACGCGUUAAGUAUCCCGCCUGUGGAGUACGGUCGCAAGACUAAAACAUAAAGGAAUUGACGGGGACCCGCACAAGCGGUGGAGCGUGUUCUUUAAUUCGACGCUAAACGAAGAACCUUACCAGGGUUUGACAUCCUUGGAAUUUCUGUGAAAGUAGAAAGUGCCUUUUGGAACCAAGUGACAGGUGAUGCAUGGCCGUCGUCAGCUCGUGUCGUGAGAUGUUUGGUUAAGUCCAUCAACGAGCGCAACCCUUGUGAAUAGUUGUAUUUUUCUAUUCAAACUGCCUCGGUAACGGGGAGGAAGGAGGGGAUGACGUCUGGUCAGUAUUUCCCUUACACCCUGGGCUAGAAACGCGCUACAAUGGCUGGUACAAUGCGCAGCGAAGUCGCGAGAUGGAGCAAAUCGCAUCAAAACCAGUCCCAGUUCGGAUUGUAGGCUGAAACUCGCCUGCAUGAAGUUGGAAUCGCUAGUAAUCGCAGAUCAGCAUGCUGCGGUGAAUACGUUCCCGGGCCUUGUACACACCGCC
RNAcentral lists this ribosomal RNA (1030 nucleotides) under uncultured bacterium. RNAcentral describes it as "bacterial SSU rRNA". It matches the Rfam family "Bacterial small subunit ribosomal RNA", at positions 335 to 1394 of the family's 1533-position model. The record is from RNAcentral.